AUCGCCGGCUUUGUCUUUGCUCCUUCCGUACUCUCUGUCUUUGAUUUGCAGUUCGUCGGCGUCCGUUGAUCGCGUCGGUGUUUAGUAACGGGGAUUCGAUCCGUGCCUUUUGCGCUUGAUUUCAAGUUUUCGGCUUUUUUGUGGGUGCUCUGGAUGGAGAUGAGUGCUACUUAAUAAUCAAGCAAUCGGGGAUCUCUCUUUUAUCCAAGGGUUGAAGAAGUGGUUCUUGAUUUGAUUUUGUGGGAAAAGUGGCGACCUUCUGACGAUAGUUUCACUUUCAAUAAUUGAGUCUGUCUUCAGUAUUAGCUACCUACACUUCUAUGUGAUUGUGUAUAAACCGCAUAACAAUAAUUGGCUGCAUACUAUAGUAUGUCAUGAGCUUUCUGACUCAAUGUAACUCCUGAAAGUGAAAGCUGUUUGUAAGCUCUUGUUUUUUAAUCGGGGAAGUUAUCUG
Molecule: long non-coding RNA, 454 nt
Organism: Rhodamnia argentea
Lineage: Eukaryota; Viridiplantae; Streptophyta; Magnoliopsida; Myrtales; Myrtaceae
Exons: 2
Source: RefSeq, a predicted model, not a curated record